GAUUAUUGAGGUUUUAAUUCUAAGAAAUACUGGUUCUUUAAAGAUAGCAAGCUAUUAGGCUAACAAACGUUAAAGAUGUUUCUAACGGUAUUAAGUAAUCAAAAUAGUUCAAUUUGAAUCUGUAUGUUCAACACUGUCUAAUUCCAAGAAGUGUAGACGAUGCACUGUUUAUUUCAUUAUUCUAAAUGGGUCAUAAAAAGUUGCGC
This 206-nucleotide long non-coding RNA is filed under the name Mytilus galloprovincialis (Mediterranean mussel). Lineage: Eukaryota; Metazoa; Mollusca; Bivalvia; Mytilida; Mytilidae. The record is from RNAcentral.